UAAACAAUUAAUUGUUCUUUUUGAUUUCAAUAUCUAACUGACAGUAAAGAAUAUAAUAAUUGAGGGUUAAUUUUACAAACAGUCAUUUAACUAGAGAGAAAAUUACAAAACGGUCACUAAAGUUUAAAAUUUUUAGUAACGAUCACUUAAGUUUUGGGACGCUUUUAAAAAUGGUCACUGAAGUUUAAAAACUUUCAGAAACGCUCACUGAAAUUUUCUUUCCAGUUUUUUGGGCUACUUUUGUGACAACUUUUCUAUCAUUUUCGACCACCGAUACUACCAAAUUUGAUAUCGUUGAAAAGCCCACAAUGUCCUAUUCCAUUACUACCCAAAAUCUCCCCGUAACUCCAAGGAAUUCGAUCGGAAAAUUGCCACAAAAAUUGCCAAAAAAAUCUGAAAAUCUACCAAAAUCUUCAGAUCGACGAUUUUCCUGUGAAUUCUGACCACCAAACCGGCUAAUUUUGGCAGAUUUUGGCACAAGGGGGUUCGAUUCUUGAGAUAUGAAAUUGGAUUCCUUGUAGGCGCAGUGUACAUGCAGUUCUUACUCUCUGGUCUGUUGGGGCACAUCCCGCGAUUUACCUCACUCACAAAGCUUUAGAGGCAGGGCAGUAGUGGCCCUCAACGUUCGGGUUCAACCUUUACUUUCUUUUUUUUUUUCUUUUUUUAAUUUCGAAGUAUCUAAAUUAAACAGGGCCUUAACUUUUUGUUUUUUGGACCAGAUUUUUAUCACACAAUCAUGAUGGAGUGACAGAAAUGUUUGAGGUGUAAAGUUGGAUCACCCAAGGCCUGGCCUAAGAUGUUGAACUAGGUCAAACUUGCCAAAAAGUUCUCUUUGCCGACAAUGCUAUAGGACCAGGUCAGCGAGUUAGUACUUAUUUCGUAAAUCAAAAAAAUAACUAGAGCAGAGUUGAGAGAAGCCAAAAAUUACCAGUAAUCAUAGAACCAAACGACCCAAACCAAGCAAAUACAGAACUAAUGAUUCCUGUGAACAGCAACAAGAAAACAUGCCCGGCCAGGAGAGCCCCCGCGAGUUCUUUCUUAAUAUUGAUGAUGAUUCGCAAGGAUUAGAAACAAUUAGUAGAGUCUUCAUCUUUGUCAAAAUCACCUCAAUCACCCACUUUAUUGAACCUCAUUUUAUCCCAAAGCAUCACCUCUCACUCUUUAGUUUCUUCAGAUAUGAUAAUUUGGAUAAGAAAUGGUGGAGGUUUGUGAGGUGGGUUUGCCUUGUUAUAUAUCCACAAUCAUGUAAGUACCAAUGGUUCUACUGUUCUUUUGAAAUACUCGGUACCCAGCCUGGGCAGGCUCAAACCGAACCAGGCCUGGAUAGCACACACACAUUUACAUAUCUUGGUUAUCAUCUUGAAAAGUGUUGUAUGCAUAUCUAAUCUCUUCUUCGUACUUAAAUCACCUCCACCUCAAACAAAUCAGCAAUCCCAAAUUACAUCAACUUCAUCUUCCACCGGACCACCAUCAACUGCAACAUCGGACCACUGCCACUACCUCUUCCCCCAAUCGCUCCAUUGGUACGGGCCGAUCAUCAUCGAACACCUCUAAUUCUCUUCUCACCAUUGAAUCGGUAAUGUCAGAACCAUUGUGAUUAUUAGAGUCCUCGUCGGCGUUGAUAAUGAAGGAGGUGAAGAAAUUGACGACAAUUGUGUGCGGUAGCUAAAUUGAUUUUGAAUACAAACCUAGCAAUUUGGGAAGAUGUGUGGAGUGGGUUGUAUGCCGUGAGUAAGAUAGGAUAAAAAUACCUAGUUUUUUAUUUUUAAAAAAUAAAAAUAAUUUCUUGUAAUCCACAAAAAAAUUUCAUUUAAAAAAAUUUAUAAAAAUUUUCAAAACUCUCAGUUGAAUGCACCAUUUCAUUAGGUUUUGAAGUAAUUUCUUAACAAAAGAAAAUCUUUGAUGUUAUCCAUGUUAGAUAUUUAUACAAUAAAUAUAAUAUGCGAAAGGAAUUACUAAUUUAGAUGAAGCGUCUGGGUGGUGGAAAUUGUGAAAUUUGUGUGGAAGGUUAGGGGCUUGUGUCACAUCUCAUGCACUAAUAAAAAAGUAGUCUUGAGCUCUUUGAUUUCCUUGAUUAAAAUAAUGAGUUUUUUUUUUAAUUUUAAUUAUUUAAUGAGUCAAAUUAGUCAGUAUAAGAUAACCUUUUUUCAACAAACCACUAUCUAGAAUCUAUUUUCUACGUUCCAUUAAAAACUGUAAAUCUUUCUAGAUCAUGGUGGAGACAGUUAUCUAUUCUACGUAUAUAAACACUCAUACGAUUUUGGAAAAAAUACAUCAAAAAUUGAAAUUAUAAUUUUCAUAUUUUGUAAUUGCUAUACUCGAGUUUUACAUCUUUUUCUGAAGUACAUUUGGGAGUUUUGAAAUCAUUUGUGAUUAUUGCACAAGGGGUUUGUUUGAUCGUUGUGUCUUGUGAGUGAUUGUCCACAAAGGUCACUGCAGUUACUGGUGGGUAAUUUCAUUUUAGGAUAUCGUGUUAUCAUGAGACUCGAUCAGUCAAUAAGUUCUAUUUCUGCAUUUUAAUAUUCUACAAGAUUCUGCAAGUUACUACAACUAAUUAUUUUUCAACAAUCCAUCUGCAGUUUCUUAAGUUUUGAUUUAUGGUAAACAAUUUGACUACUUCUUUAAGAUGGCAAUUAAUUUUAUAUUCUUAUAGAGUGGAUUAUUUCAUUAAACUAUGCUAAUAAUUUUAAAAAAUUGAGCUGAAAUCUUGAAUUUCCUACUAGGUAGGUUUUAUAUAUUGCAGAAAUUCCUUGUUCUCUACUGACAACAUCAUAAUUGAAAAAGGGCAAAAUGGAUAAGAUAGUAUAAUCUCAUAGUUUCACAUCAAUAUGCUAGAUAUGUCCUUUACGAUGAAAAUGCUUCACAUCUAAAGUUUAUGUCAAUUAUAAUAGUUCUUGGUUCAACAUUUGCAUUUGCAUACAUACUUUGAAACAAGUUAUUUGAUUAAUAAAUUUGGUUUUUCGCUAGGUUUUCUACUCUAGCGUUGUUAAUCAAUACAAUGAAUUUUGUAACGUCAGUCUAUAGAAGGUUAAGUAUCAAGGAGCAUAUUUACAAGACCACUCAUGUAUGGUUUUGCUUGCCGUAUGAAUUUCAUCUCCUUUUGUAGUAAGAGUGGUACGAUAUAUUUGAAUAGGACAUUAUUUAUUUACUCAGUCAAUUAAUAUCUCAGUCUGCAAUUUUAGAUGCAUCUGGAGUGGGAUUGAUGAGGUUGAUCUUCAGGCGCUGGGCUACCAAAAAGACAGCAUCAUCCACGAAAAAUGGUUGCGAUUCACUACUUAAGAAUCUCAGCGUUCACAAAUUUGGGGGAGAGUUGAGUAAUGAAAAUAAAGAGUGGAGAAAAUUGUUAUUAUUGAAUGGUAUAUAGUGGAACUUUGUUAGCCAGCCACUCUGCCUCCGAACAGUGUCAUAUUUCUUCUUGAUUGUAAGAUGAAGAAAGAUGAAAGCAUUUGGUAUAUUAGGUAAGUCAGUAGAAAUCAAUCGCUCAGUUGAAUUCAUUGUAUCUAAAGGAUUGAUGAAAAAGAGAUGGGCAUUUAUUAAUACAUUAUAAAGUUGAUAAUUCCUGCCAAAGAAUUUGAUCUCUUCAUGCCAAAAUACAGGUGCUGCUUUUCUUGCUUGUCCAUAAGUAGAAACUAUGAUCGGAUUAAAUUCAUCAACGGCCACCAACUUUAUACUUAGCCCCCCUUUGGCCCUCAUCCUCCUUAUCAUUCUUUUUCUCUCUCUUAUUUUCAAUUACAC
Molecule: long non-coding RNA, 3735 nt
Filed under: Olea europaea subsp. europaea
Lineage: Eukaryota; Viridiplantae; Streptophyta; Magnoliopsida; Lamiales; Oleaceae
Source: RNAcentral